This 2919-nucleotide ribosomal RNA is filed under the name Shewanella sp. OPT22. RNAcentral's name for it is "partial 23S ribosomal RNA". It matches the Rfam family "Bacterial large subunit ribosomal RNA". The record is from RNAcentral. Lineage: Bacteria; Pseudomonadati; Pseudomonadota; Gammaproteobacteria; Alteromonadales; Shewanellaceae.
GUUGUAUGGUUAAGCGACUAAGCGUAUACGGUGGAUGCCUUGGCAGUCAGAGGCGAUGAAGGACGUGUUAAUCUGCGAUAAGCUGAGCUCAGGUGAUAAAAACCAUUUUAGGCUCAGAUUUCCGAAUGGGGCAACCCGGCCACAUAAGUGGUCAUUGUACAGUGAAUACAUAGCUGUAUGAGGCGAACGUGGGGAACUGAAACAUCUAAGUACCCAUAGGAACAGAAAUCAACCGAGAUUCCCCUAGUAGCGGCGAGCGAACGGGGAUUAGCCCUUAAGUUUUUUGGAAGUUAAUGGAAUGCGUUGGAAAGCGCAGCGGCACAGGGUGAUAGCCCCGUACAUGAAAACGACCUUAAGAUGAAAUCGAGUAGGACGGCACACGUGAUAUGUUGUCUGAACAUGGGGGGACCAUCCUCCAAGGCUAAAUACUCCUGACUGACCGAUAGUGAACCAGUACCGUGAGGGAAAGGCGAAAAGAACCCCUGUGAGGGGAGUGAAAUAGAACCUGAAACCGUAUACGUACAAGCAGUGGGAGCGGUCCUUGAGACCGUGACUGCGUACCUUUUGUAUAAUGGGUCAGCGACUUACAUUUAGUAGCAAGGUUAAGCGAAUAGCGGAGCCGUAGGGAAACCGAGUGUUAACUGCGCGAAGAGUUGCUAGGUGUAGACCCGAAACCCGGUGAUCUAGCCAUGGGCAGGUUGAAGGUUGAGUAACAUCAACUGGAGGACCGAACACACGUAUGUUGAAAAAUGCGGUGAUGACUUGUGGCUGGGGGUGAAAGGCCAAUCAAACCGGGAGAUAUCUGGUUCUCCUCGAAAGCUAUUUAGGUAGCGCCUCGCACGGACACCAUUGGGGGUAGAGCACUGUUAAGGCUAGGGGGUCAUCCCGACUUACCAACCCUUUGCAAACUCCGAAUACCAAUGAGUGAUAUGCGGGAGACACACGGCGGGUGCUAACGUCCGUCGUGGAAAGGGAAACAACCCAGACCGUCAGCUAAGGUCCCAAAGUGUAUGUUAAGUGGGAAACGAUGUGGGAAGGCUUAGACAGCUAGGAAGUUGGCUUAGAAGCAGCCAUCUUUUAAAGAAAGCGUAAUAGCUCACUAGUCGAGUCGGCCUGCGCGGAAGAUUUAACGGGGCUAAACAUACCACCGAAGCUACGGGUUCAAGAUUUAUCUUGAGCGGUAGAGGAGCGUUCUGUAAGCGGUUGAAGCUAAAGGGGUAACCCAUAGUGGACGUAUCAGAAGUGCGAAUGCUGACAUGAGUAACGAUAAAGGGAGUGAAAAACUCCCUCGCCGAAAGACCAAGGGUUCCUGUCCAAUGUUAAUCAGGGCAGGGUGAGUCGACCCCUAAGGCGAGGCCGAAAGGCGUAGUCGAUGGGAAACGGGUUAAUAUUCCCGUACUUCUACUUACUGCGAUGGAGAGACGGAGAAGGCUAGGCUAGCCGGGCGUUGGUUGUCCCGGUUUAAGGUUGUAGGCUGUUCACUUAGGUAAAUCCGGGUGAACAUUAGGCUGAGAACUGAUGACGAGUCACUAAGGUGAUGAAGUAGUUGAUGCCAUGCUUCCAGGAAAAUCUUCUAAGCUUCAGGUAAGUAGGAAUCGUACCCCAAACCGACACAGGUGGUUGGGUAGAGAAUACCAAGGCGCUUGAGAGAACUCGGCUGAAGGAACUAGGCAAAAUGGUACCGUAACUUCGGGAGAAGGUACGCUGCCGGCGGUGAUGAGACUUGCUCUCUAAGCUGCUGGCAGUCGCAGAUACCAGGUGGCUGCAACUGUUUAUCAAAAACACAGCACUGUGCAAAAUCGCAAGAUGACGUAUACGGUGUGACGCCUGCCCGGUGCUUGAAGGUUAAUUGAUUAGGUUAGUACUUGUACGAAGCUUAUGAUCGAAGCCCAAGUAAACGGCGGCCGUAACUAUAACGGUCCUAAGGUAGCGAAAUUCCUUGUCGGGUAAGUUCCGACCUGCACGAAUGGCGUAAUGAUGGCCACGCUGUCUCCAGCCGAGACUCAGUGAAGUUGAAAUUGCGGUGAAGAUGCCGUAUACCCGCGGCUAGACGGAAAGACCCCGUGAACCUUUACUAUAGCUUGGCACUGAACAUUGACCCUACAUGUGUAGGAUAGGUGGGAGACUUUGAAACCUUGUCGCCAGAUGAGGUGGAGUCAACCUUGAAAUACCACCCUUGUAGUGUUGAUGUUCUAACUUGGCCCCAUUAUCUGGGGUAAGGACAGUGCCUGGUGGGUAGUUUGACUGGGGCGGUCUCCUCCCAAAGAGUAACGGAGGAGCACGAAGGUUAGCUAAACACGGUCGGACAUCGUGUGGUUAGUGCAAUGGCAUAAGCUAGCUUAACUGCGAGACAGACACGUCGAGCAGGUACGAAAGUAGGUCAUAGUGAUCCGGUGGUUCUGUAUGGAAGGGCCAUCGCUCAACGGAUAAAAGGUACUCCGGGGAUAACAGGCUGAUACCGCCCAAGAGUUCAUAUCGACGGCGGUGUUUGGCACCUCGAUGUCGGCUCAUCACAUCCUGGGGCUGAAGUCGGUCCCAAGGGUAUGGCUGUUCGCCAUUUAAAGUGGUACGCGAGCUGGGUUCAGAACGUCGUGAGACAGUUCGGUCCCUAUCUGCCGUGGGCGUUGGAUGAUUGAAAGGGGCUGCUCCUAGUACGAGAGGACCGGAGUGGACGAACCGCUGGUGUUCGGGUUGUUAUGCCAAUAGCAUUGCCCGGUAGCUACGUUCGGAAUCGAUAACCGCUGAAAGCAUCUAAGCGGGAAGCGAGCCUUGAGAUGAGUCAUCCCUCAGAUUUUAAAUCUGCUAAAGAGCCGUCCGAGACUAGGACGUUGAUAGGCAAGGUGUGUAAGCGUUGUGAGGCGUUGAGCUAACUUGUACUAAUGACUCGUGAGGCUUAACCAUACAACCCUAAUGGGUUUU